AUCGAUUUGAAAACCAGAAUCUG
RNAcentral lists this small nuclear RNA (23 nucleotides) under Arabidopsis thaliana (thale cress). Its description in RNAcentral is "snRNA_00529". The record is from RNAcentral. Lineage: Eukaryota; Viridiplantae; Streptophyta; Magnoliopsida; Brassicales; Brassicaceae.